Molecule: long non-coding RNA, 595 nt
Filed under: Homo sapiens (human)
Lineage: Eukaryota; Metazoa; Chordata; Mammalia; Primates; Hominidae
Description: long non-coding RNA NONHSAT129723
Source: RNAcentral
AGGGAAGCAGCUGGUGCACUACACAGCGCAGCCGCUGUUCCUGCUGGACCCCGGCUCCGUGGACACCGGGAGCAACGACCUGCCGGUGCUGUUUGAGCUGGGAGAGGGCUCCUACUUCUCCGAAGGGGACGGCUUCGCCGAGGACCCCACCAUCUCCCUGCUGACAGGCUCGGAGCCUCCCAAAGCCAAGGACCCCACUGUCUCCUAGAGGCCCCGGAGGAGCUGGGCCAGCCGCCCACCCCCACCCCCAGUGCAGGGCUGGUCUUGGGGAGGCAGGGCAGCCUCGCGGUCUUGGGCACUGGUGGGUCGGCCGCCAUAGCCCCAGUAGGACAAACGGGCUCGGGUCUGGGCAGCACCUCUGGUCAGGAGGGUCACCCUGGCCUGCCAGUCUGCCUUCCCCCAACCCCGUGUCCUGUGGUUUGGUUGGGGCUUCACAGCCACACCUGGACUGACCCUGCAGGUUGUUCAUAGUCAGAAUUGUAUUUUGGAUUUUUACACAACUGUCCCGUUCCCCGCUCCACAGAGAUACACAGAUAUAUACACACAGUGGAUGGACGGACAAGACAGGCAGAGAUCUAUAAACAGACAGGCUCUA